Molecule: ribosomal RNA, 1869 nt
Filed under: Triticum aestivum (bread wheat)
Lineage: Eukaryota; Viridiplantae; Streptophyta; Magnoliopsida; Poales; Poaceae
Description: partial small subunit ribosomal RNA
Source: RNAcentral
AUGAGCUUCAGCUUACACAGGAUGAGGUUUCUAUUCCUGACUCUCCUACUCGGGUUGAGCCAUCCACUCUCUCUCCUUUUCCUUUUACCUACUCCCGUCGUGCUCAACACCCUUCUCCCUCUGAUGCGCCACCUUCCACUUCCCCUCUCUCUCCGCUUCCUUUUGUCUACUCCCGUCGUGCUCGGCACCCCUCUCCCUCGGAUGCGCCCACUUCCACUUCCACUCCUUCCCUGUUGGGUCCCAUUCCUUCAGAACCACCUACCCCUCCUGCUCCUCGGUAUAAUCUGCGUGAUCGCCACUCUCCAGCCUCCUGCGUACUAUGUUGCUGCUGCUACCACUCUUGUUGAGCCGUCUACGUAUCGUGAGGCUGCUGCUCAUUCUGAAUGGCGGCAUGCUAUGGCAGAGGAAAUUCAUGCUCUUGAGCGCACAGGCACUUGGGACCUUGUACCCCUGCCUACAGGCGUUAGACCCAUCACUUGCAAAUGGGUCUACAAGGUUAAGACACAUUCAGAUGGUUCUCUCGUGCGCUACAAAGCUCGUCUUGUUGCGCGUGGCUUCCAGCAGGAGUAUGGUCGUGACUAUGAUGAGACUUUUGCUCCUGUUGCUCACAUGACCACUGUUCGCACUCUUUUGGCUGUUGCUGCUGUUCGGCAGUGGUCCAUCUCUCAAUUAGAUGUCAAGAAUGCCUUCUUGAAUGGUGAGCUGCGGGAAGUGGUCUAUAUGCAGCCGCCUCCUGGCUAUACUGUCUCUGAUGGCACUGUCUAUCGCCUUCGGCGCGCUCUUUACGGGCUGAAACAAGCUCCUCGUACCUGGUUUGAGCGUUUCUCCGCCGUCAUCACAAGGAUCGGGUUCUCUGCUAGUGUUCAUGAUCCUGCUCUGUUUAUUCACACUUCUCCUCGCGGUCGCACCCUUUUACUACUCUAUGUUGAUGACAUGAUUAUCACAGGGGCUGACCACCAAUUCAUUGAUUUUGUGAAGAAACGUCUACAUGAGCAAUUCUUGAUGACUGAUUUGGGUUCUCUUCGCUACUUUCUUGGACUUGAGAUCAUUUCUUCCCCUGAGGGUAUUUAUCUCUCUCAAGAGAAGUACAUCCAAGAUCUUCUCACUCGUGCCUGCCUCACUGAUCAGCGCACGGUUGACACUCCUAUGGAGUUUGGUCUCCAUCUUCGUCCUGGUGAGGGUGAACCCCUUGCAGAUCCCACACGCUACCGCCAUCUUGUUGGGAGCCUUGUCUAUCUAGGCAUCACUCGUCCUGACAUUUCUUAUGCUGUGCACAUUCUAAGUCAGUUUGUCUCUGCUCCCACUCAACUUCACUACAGUCACCUUCUUCGUGUUCUUCGUUACCUUCGUGGUACCGUGACUCGUCGCUUAUUCUUCCCUCGCUCCAGCUCUCUUCAGCUUCAGGCCUACUGUGAUGCUACCUGGGCCAGCGAUCCCACUGAUCGCCGCUCUCUCUCUGCCUAUUGUGUUUUUCUUGGCUCCUCCCUGAUUGCCUGGAAGACCAAGAAGCAGAAUGCUGUAUCUCGCUCCAGUGCUGAGGCUGAGCUGCGAGCUAUGGCGUCCGUGACUGCAGAAAUUACUUGGCUACGAUGGCUUCUUCAGGAUUUUGGUGUUUCCACUGCUACACCGACCCCUCUGCUCUCCGACAGCACUGGGGCACUCAGCAUUGCCCGUGAUCCUGUUAAGCAUGAGCUCACCAAGCACAUCGGUGUUGAUGCCUCCUACACUCGUUCUCAGGUGCAAGACAGAAUUGUCGCCCCUCAGUAUGUGCCCUCGGAGCUUCAGCUUGCUGAUUUUCUGACGAAAGCUCAGACACGGUCCCAACACAGCUUUUUCCUGUCCAAACUCGAUGUCCAAGAUCCCCCUUGA